UACGUAGGGUGCAAGCGUUCAUCGGAAUUACUGGGCGUAAAGCGUGCGCAGGCGGUUAUGUAAGUCAGAGGUGAAAUCCCCGGGCUCAACCUGGGAACUGCAUUUGUGACUGCAUAGCUAGAGUACGGUAGAGGGGGAUGGAAUUCCGCGUGUAGCAGUGAAAUGCGUAGAUAUGCGGAGGAACACCGAUGGCGAAGGCAAUCCCCUGGACCUGUACUGACGCUCAUGCACGAAAGCGUGGGGAGCAAACAGG
This 253-nucleotide ribosomal RNA is filed under the name uncultured bacterium. RNAcentral's name for it is "partial 16S ribosomal RNA". It matches the Rfam family "Bacterial small subunit ribosomal RNA", at positions 524 to 776 of the family's 1533-position model. The record is from RNAcentral.